Molecule: ribosomal RNA, 465 nt
Filed under: uncultured bacterium
Lineage: Bacteria
Description: bacterial SSU rRNA
Rfam family: Bacterial small subunit ribosomal RNA
Source: RNAcentral
GAUGAACGCUGGCGGCGUGCUUAACACAUGCAAGUCGAACGAUGAUCCCAGCUUGCUGGGGGAUUAGUGGCGAACGGGUGAGUAACACGUGAGUAACCUGCCCUUGACUCUGGGAUAAGCCUGGGAAACUGGGUCUAAUACCGGAUAUGACUGUCUGACGCAUGUCAGGUGGUGGAAAGCUUUUGUGGUUUUGGAUGGACUCGCGGCCUAUCAGCUUGUUGGUGGGGUAAUGGCCUACCAAGGCGACGACGGGUAGCCGGCCUGAGAGGGUGACCGGCCACACUGGGACUGAGACACGGCCCAGACUCCUACGGGAGGCAGCAGUGGGGAAUAUUGCACAAUGGGCGCAAGCCUGAUGCAGCGACGCCGCGUGAGGGAUGACGGCCUUCGGGUUGUAAACCUCUUUCAGUAGGGAAGAAGCGAAAGUGACGGUACCUGCAGAAGAAGCGCCGGCUAACUACGUGC